Molecule: non-coding RNA, 28 nt
Filed under: Rattus norvegicus (Norway rat)
Lineage: Eukaryota; Metazoa; Chordata; Mammalia; Rodentia; Muridae
Source: RNAcentral
UAAGCCAUACAGGAAGAAACCUGUUACA